AGAUCGUUUUGGGGGCAAUUCCGAAGUAGACCCUUGUAGCGCUCCCAUGCUUCAAACAGCGACUCCCCCAUUUGCUGUUCAAAAUUAGCAAUGACCUUUUUGGGCUU
Small nucleolar RNA from Lactuca sativa (garden lettuce), 107 nucleotides. NCBI's taxonomy places the organism in Eukaryota, Viridiplantae, Streptophyta, Magnoliopsida, Asterales, Asteraceae. The record is from RefSeq and is a predicted model, not a curated record.